UCAAAAAAUAGUUUUAAGCUAAAAAUAUUAAUUUUGGGAAUUAAAGAUAUAUAUUUAUUUUUUUGAA
RNAcentral lists this transfer RNA (67 nucleotides) under Halice sp. JL-2018. RNAcentral's name for it is "tRNA-Pro". The record is from RNAcentral. Lineage: Eukaryota; Metazoa; Arthropoda; Malacostraca; Amphipoda; Pardaliscidae.